RNAcentral lists this ribosomal RNA (763 nucleotides) under uncultured bacterium. Its description in RNAcentral is "bacterial SSU rRNA". It matches the Rfam family "Bacterial small subunit ribosomal RNA", at positions 546 to 1311 of the family's 1533-position model. The record is from RNAcentral.
CGGAAUCAUUGGGCGUAAAGGGUACGUAGGCGGGUCAUUAAGUUAGAAGUCAAAGGCUAUAGCUCAACUAUAGUAAGCUUCUAAAACUGGAGACCUUGAGUAAUGGAAGGGAAAGUGGAAUUCCUAGUGUAGCGGUGGAAUGCGCAGAUAUUAGGAGGAAUACCGGUGGCGAAGGCGACUUUCUGGCCAUUAACUGACGCUGAGGUACGAAAGCGUGGGUAGCAAACAGGAUUAGAUACCCUGGUAGUCCACGCCGUAAACGAUGAGUGUUAGGUGUCUGGAGUAAAUCUGGGUGCCGCAGCUAACGCAUUAAACACUCCGCCUGGGGAGUACGCACGCAAGUGUGAAACUCAAAGGAAUUGACGGGGACCCGCACAAGCAGCGGAGCAUGUGGUUUAAUUCGAAGCAACGCGAAGAACCUUACCAAGUCUUGACAUAUUUUGGAAGCACUUAGAGAUAAGAGCCUAUAUCUUCGGAUAACUGAAAUACAGGUGGUGCAUGGUUGUCGUCAGCUCGUGUCGUGAGAUGUUGGGUUAAGUCCCAUAACGAGCGCAACCCCUAUGGCUAGUUACCAUCAUUAAGUUGGGGACUCUAGCAAUACUGCCGGUGACAAACCGGAGGAAGGUGGGGAUGACGUCAAAUCAUCAUGCCCUUUAUGACUUGGGCUACACACGUGCUACAAUGGCAGGUACAGAGGGCAGCUACAGAGUGAUCUGAUGCAAAACUCAAAAAGCCUGUCCCAGUUCGGAUUGCACUCUGCAAC